RNAcentral lists this ribosomal RNA (709 nucleotides) under Brachybacterium paraconglomeratum. Its description in RNAcentral is "bacterial SSU rRNA". It matches the Rfam family "Bacterial small subunit ribosomal RNA", at positions 9 to 729 of the family's 1533-position model. Lineage: Bacteria; Bacillati; Actinomycetota; Actinomycetes; Micrococcales; Dermabacteraceae. The record is from RNAcentral.
GAGUUUGAUCCUGGCUCAGGACGAACGCUGGCGGCGUGCUUAACACAUGCAAGUCGAACGAUGACGGUGGUGCUUGCACCGCCUGAUUAGUGGCGAACGGGUGAGUAACACGUGAGUAACCUGCCCCCCACUUCGGGAUAACCUCGGGAAAUCGUGGCUAAUACCGGAUACGAGCACUCAUCGCAUGGUGGGUGUUGGAAAGAUUUAUCGGUGGGGGAUGGACUCGCGGCCUAUCAGUUUGUUGGUGAGGUGAUGGCUCACCAAGACGAUGACGGGUAGCCGGCCUGAGAGGGCGACCGGCCACACUGGGACUGAGACACGGCCCAGACUCCUACGGGAGGCAGCAGUGGGGAAUAUUGCACAAUGGGCGAAAGCCUGAUGCAGCGACGCCGCGUGGGGGAUGACGGCCUUCGGGUUGUAAACCCCUUUCAGUAGGGAAGAAGCGAAAGUGACGGUACCUGCAGAAGAAGCGCCGGCUAACUACGUGCCAGCAGCCGCGGUAAUACGUAGGGCGCAAGCGUUGUCCGGAAUUAUUGGGCGUAAAGAGCUUGUAGGUGGCUUGUCGCGUCUGCCGUGAAAACCCGAGGCUCAACCUCGGGCGUGCGGUGGGUACGGGCAGGCUAGAGUGUGGUAGGGGAGACUGGAACUCCUGGUGUAGCGGUGAAAUGCGCAGAUAUCAGGAAGAACACCGAUGGCGAAGGCAGGUNUC